RNAcentral lists this ribosomal RNA (853 nucleotides) under Berkeleyomyces basicola. RNAcentral's name for it is "eukaryotic LSU rRNA". It matches the Rfam family "Eukaryotic large subunit ribosomal RNA", at positions 47 to 929 of the family's 3401-position model. The record is from RNAcentral. Lineage: Eukaryota; Fungi; Ascomycota; Sordariomycetes; Microascales; Ceratocystidaceae.
UAAGCGGAGGAAAAGAAACCAACAGGGAUUGCCCUAGUAACGGCGAGCGAAGCGGCAACAGCUCAAAUUUGAAAUCUGGCUAUUUUGUAGUCCGAGUUGUAAUUUGUAGAGGAUGCUUUUGGUGAGGUGCCUUCCGAGUUCCCUGGAACGGGACGCCAGAGAGGGUGAGAGCCCCGUACGGUUGGAUACCAAACCUUUGUAUAGCUCCUUCGACGAGUCGAGUAGUUUGGGAAUGCUGCUCUAAAUGGGAGGUAUAUCUCUUCUAAAGCUAAAUAUAGGCUAGAGACCGAUAGCGCACAAGUAGAGUGAUCGAAAGAUGAAAAGCACUUUGAAAAGAGAGUUAAACAGCACGUGAAAUUGUUGAAAGGGAAGCGCCUAUGACCAGACUUGUUUCUUUCAGUUUUGUUAGUUUUCGGACUGAUUUACUCUGUUAGUACAGGCCAGCAUCAGUUUGUUGUCAGGGAGAAAGGCUUAGGGAAUGUGGCUCUUUCGGGAGUGUUAUAGCCCUUUGCAUAAUACCUUUCGGCAGACUGAGGACCGCGCUUCGGCAAGGAUGCUGGCGUAAUGGUCAUCAGCGACCCGUCUUGAAACACGGACCAAGGAGUCAACCUUAUGUGCGAGUGUUUGGGUGUAAAACCCCAGCGCGUAAUGAACGUGAACGUAGGUGAGAGCUUCGGCGCAUCAUCGACCGAUUCUGAUGUUCUCGGAUGGAUUUGAGUAAGAGCACACAGGGUUGGACCCGAAAGAAGGUGAACUAUGCUUGUAUAGGGUGAAGCCAGAGGAAACUCUGGUGGAGGCUCGCAGCGGUUCUGACGUGCAAAUCGAUCGUCAAAUAUGAGCAUGGGGGCGAAAG